Non-coding RNA from Oryza sativa Japonica Group (Japanese rice), 1430 nucleotides. NCBI's taxonomy places the organism in Eukaryota, Viridiplantae, Streptophyta, Magnoliopsida, Poales, Poaceae. The record is from RefSeq and is a predicted model, not a curated record.
AGGGUUAUGGUAUGUACUAGGGUGUGUUCGUUCGGGGAUGGCGACUAGUUCUUCGAGCUUUCGCCGGAGGGGAAGAUGGCGGUGCGGCCCUCGGGGAAAGAGGGGAUGCAUCAAGCGGUAUUUCUGAUUUGGGCCUCUGGAAGAUGGAUUUGAGUGAUGAUGUGUACCAAUUGCUUUCUGAAGUGAAGCAUAUGAAUCUGAUGAUGGAAACUGUUGCAACGGCACAUUCGGAAUAUGCCAAUAUGGAAUGGCUACCCUUGCCUGCAGUCCGUAGGAUAGGAUGAGCUGAUGAUGAGCAGCUGCAGCUCGCAGGAUUAUUUAUUUGUCGUGGAAGCUGGUGUGCAACGUCUACGAAUUCGUGUACCAGACUACCCUUAUAUAUAAGUACUCCGUAUACAUACAGGUACGCGCACGGUCGGCCACACCUUGAGCUGCACGAAUGUUAUUCGCGUUGGACGAGGCAGGUGUUCCUUGGACUGAAGAAGAACACCGGAGGUUUUUGCUUGGAUUGCAAAAGCUUGGCAAAGGUGAUUGGCGAGGAAUCUCUCGUAAUUUCGUGGUCUCAAGAACACCUACUCAAGUAGCCAGUCAUGCUCAGAAAUAUUUUAUACGCCAAUCCAAUAUGACCAGAAGGAAAAGAAGGUCUAGCCUUUUUGACAUGGUGCCAGAUGAGUCUAUGGACCUUCCACCACUUCCUGGAGGUCAAGAACCAGAGACCCAAGUAUUAAAUCAACCAGCACUACCUCCACCGAGGGAGGAGGAGGAGGUAGAUUCUAUGGAGUCAGAUACUUCUGCCGUUGCAGAGAGCUCUUCCGCUUCUGCUAUCAUGCCAGAUAAUUUGCAGUCGACCUAUCCAGUGAUUGUUCCAGCUUAUUUCUCGCCCUUUUUGCAAUUCUCGGUUCCUUUCUGGCAAAAUCAGAAAGAUGAAGAUGGUCCUGUGCAAGAAACACAUGAGAUUGUCAAGCCUGUUCCAGUUCAUUCAAAGAGCCCAAUCAACGUUGAUGAGCUUGUUGGCAUGUCGAAGCUCAGCAUAGGAGAGUCCAAUCAAGAGACAGUGUCUACUUCUCUUUCAUUAAAUCUGGUAGGAGGUCAAAAUAGACAAUCAGCUUUCCAUGCAAAUCCACCAACAAGGGCACAGGCAUGAUCUCCUUCUGCACACAACUGCAUUUAGAUGAAUCCCAGGCAAAAUAAGCUUUGCCUCCUUGUUUUUUUGUUUUUAUUUUAAGAUUAACCGUUCUCCGUAGUCUGUAUCAUGUGCUGUAAGUUAUGCUAUGUAUGAAUGUAUCUGUUGUUUGUCUGGCACACAUGAUAAAUCACUCUAUGUUAACAAAAUCAGUAAUGGUAGUGCUGAUCUUCGUGGUUGUACUGUUGUAAACUCUUUUAUAAGAAAAAAAAAUAUUAGUUAGUCAUUUUGAAGGGAUCUCAGUUCA